AUUGAACGCUGGCGGCAUGCCUUACACAUGCAAGUCGAACGGUAGAGUAGCAAUACUUGAGAGUGGCGAACGGGUGAGUAAUAUAUCGGAACGUGCCCAGUCGUGGGGGGAUAACGUAGAGAAAUUUACGCUAAUACCGCAUACGAUCUAAGGAUGAAAGCGGGGGAUUCGCAAGAACCUCGCGCGAUUGGAGCGGCUGAUAUCAGAUUAGGUUGUUGGUGAGGUAAAAGCUCACCAAGCCGACGAUCUGUAGCUGGUUUGAGAGAACGACCAGCCACACUGGGACUGAGACACGGCCCAGACUCCUACGGGAGGCAGCAGUGGGGAAUAUUGGACAAUGGGCGAAAGCCUGAUCCAGCAAUGCCGCGUGAGUGAUGAAGGCCUUCGGUUGUUAAAGGAC
Molecule: ribosomal RNA, 400 nt
Filed under: uncultured bacterium
Lineage: Bacteria
Description: bacterial SSU rRNA
Rfam family: Bacterial small subunit ribosomal RNA
Source: RNAcentral